GACGAACGCUGGCGGCGUGCUUAACACAUGCAAGUCGAACGGAAAGGCCCUGCUUUUUUGGUGUGCUCGAGUGGCGAACGGGUGAGUAACACGUGAGUAACCUGCCCUUGACUUUGGGAUAACUUCAGGAAACUGGGGCUAAUACCGGAUAGGAUCUCCUGCUGCAUGGUGGGGGUUGAAAAGUUUCGGCUGUUGGGGAUGGACUCGCGGCUUAUCAGCUUGUUGGUGGGGUAGUGGCUUACCAAGGCUUUGACGGGUAGCCGGCCUGAGAGGGUGACCGGCCACAUUGGGACUGAGAUACGCACCAGACGCCAACGGGAGGCAGCAGGGGGGAAUAUGGCACAAUGGGCGGAAGCCGGAUGAAGCAACGCCGCGUGCGGGAUGACGGCCUGCGGGUUGUAAACCGCUUUAGCCUGUGACGAAGCGUGAGUGACGGUAAUGGGUAAAGAAGCACCGGCUAACUACGUG
RNAcentral lists this ribosomal RNA (468 nucleotides) under uncultured bacterium. Its description in RNAcentral is "partial 16S ribosomal RNA". It matches the Rfam family "Bacterial small subunit ribosomal RNA", at positions 28 to 507 of the family's 1533-position model. The record is from RNAcentral.